UGGGGAAUUUUCCGCAAUGGGCGAAAGCCUGACGGAGCAAUACCGCGUGAGGGAUGACGGCCUAUGGGUUGUAAACCUCUUUUUUCAGGGAGGAAUAAAUGACGUGUACCUGAAGAAUAAGCAUCGGCUAACUCCGUGCCAGCAGCCGCGGUAAGACGGAGGAUGCAAGUGUUAUCCGGAAUCACUGGGCGUAAAGCGUCUGUAGGUGGUCAAAUAAGUCAACUGUUAAAUCUUGAGGCUCAACCUCAAAAUCGCAGUCGAAACUAUUAGACUAGAGUAUAGUAGGGGUAAAGGGAAUUUCCAGUGGAGCGGUGAAAUGCGUAGAGAUUGGAAGGAACACCGAUGGCGAAGGCACUUUACUGGGCUAUUACUAACACUCAGAGACGAAAGCUAGGGUAGCAAAUG
RNAcentral lists this ribosomal RNA (405 nucleotides) under uncultured bacterium. RNAcentral's name for it is "bacterial SSU rRNA". It matches the Rfam family "Bacterial small subunit ribosomal RNA", at positions 355 to 774 of the family's 1533-position model. The record is from RNAcentral.